GCUCUGGCUGAGUGGUCCGCCAAUUGGUUGGUACUGCUUCGGCUGGGGCUCACCUUCUGGUGAGCCGUCAUGUCCUUCACUGGGUGUGGCGAGGAACCAGGACUUUUACCUUGAAAAAAUUAGAGUGUUCAAAGCAGGCGCACGCUUGUAUAGAUUAGCAUGGAAUAAUGGAAUAGGACCUGUGGUCUUGUUUUGUUGGUUUCUGAGACCGCGGUA
This 216-nucleotide ribosomal RNA is filed under the name uncultured fungus. Its description in RNAcentral is "partial small subunit ribosomal RNA". The stretch from base 92 to 216 matches the Rfam family "Eukaryotic small subunit ribosomal RNA", at positions 738 to 864 of the family's 1831-position model. Lineage: Eukaryota; Fungi. The record is from RNAcentral.